This 251-nucleotide ribosomal RNA is filed under the name Salmonella enterica subsp. enterica. Its description in RNAcentral is "partial 16S ribosomal RNA". It matches the Rfam family "Bacterial small subunit ribosomal RNA", at positions 338 to 606 of the family's 1533-position model. Lineage: Bacteria; Pseudomonadati; Pseudomonadota; Gammaproteobacteria; Enterobacterales; Enterobacteriaceae. The record is from RNAcentral.
CCUACGGGAGGCAGCAGUGGGGAAUAUUGCACAAUGGGGGAAACCCUGAUCCAGCCACGCCGCGUGAGUGAUGAAGGACUUAGGGAUGUAAAGCUCUAUCAGCAGGGAAGAAAAUGACGGUACCGGACGAAGAAGCCCCGGCUAACUACGUGCCAGCAGCCGCGGUAAUACGAAGGGGGCAAGCGUUAUCCGGAAUUACUGGGCGUAAAGGGAGCGUAGACGGAAGCGCAAGUCUGAAGUGAAAAUCCGGG